ACUCCUACGGGAGGCAGCAGUAGGGAAUCUUCCGCAAUGGACGAAAGUCUGACGGAGCAACGCCGCGUGAGUGAUGAAGGUUUUCGGAUCGUAAAGCUCUGUUGUUAGGGAAGAACAAGUGCCGUUCAAAUAGGGCGGCACCUUGACGGUACCUAACCAGAAAGCCACGGCUAACUACGUGCCAGCAGCCGCGGUAAU
RNAcentral lists this ribosomal RNA (198 nucleotides) under Bacillus subtilis. RNAcentral's name for it is "16S ribosomal RNA". It matches the Rfam family "Bacterial small subunit ribosomal RNA", at positions 335 to 524 of the family's 1533-position model. Lineage: Bacteria; Bacillati; Bacillota; Bacilli; Caryophanales; Bacillaceae. The record is from RNAcentral.